This 465-nucleotide ribosomal RNA is filed under the name Vreelandella stevensii. RNAcentral's name for it is "partial 16S ribosomal RNA". It matches the Rfam family "Bacterial small subunit ribosomal RNA", at positions 338 to 795 of the family's 1533-position model. Lineage: Bacteria; Pseudomonadati; Pseudomonadota; Gammaproteobacteria; Oceanospirillales; Halomonadaceae. The record is from RNAcentral.
CCUACGGGAGGCAGCAGUGGGGAAUAUUGGACAAUGGGGGCAACCCUGAUCCAGCCAUGCCGCGUGUGUGAAGAAGGCCCUCGGGUUGUAAAGCACUUUCAGUGAGGAAGAACGCCUGGUGGUUAAUACCCAUCAGGAAAGACAUCACUCGCAGAAGAAGCACCGGCUAACUCCGUGCCAGCAGCCGCGGUAAUACGGAGGGUGCGAGCGUUAAUCGGAAUUACUGGGCGUAAAGCGCGCGUAGGUGGCUUGAUAAGCCGGUUGUGAAAGCCCCGGGCUCAACCUGGGAACGGCAUCCGGAACUGUCAAGCUAGAGUGCAGGAGAGGAAGGUAGAAUUCCCGGUGUAGCGGUGAAAUGCGUAGAGAUCGGGAGGAAUACCAGUGGCGAAGGCGGCCUUCUGGACUGACACUGACACUGAGGUGCGAAAGCGUGGGUAGCAAACAGGAUUAGAUACCCCAGUAGUC